GGUCGAUUAGCUCAGCUGGUUAGAGCGUGGUGCUAAUAGAAUUAUUCUGUAACGCCAAGGCCGUGGGUUCGAUCCCCACAUUGACCU
RNAcentral lists this transfer RNA (87 nucleotides) under Sporormia fimetaria CBS 119925. It matches the Rfam family "tRNA". From Rfam's summary of the family: Transfer RNA (tRNA) molecules are approximately 80 nucleotides in length. The record is from Rfam by way of RNAcentral. Lineage: Eukaryota; Fungi; Ascomycota; Dothideomycetes; Pleosporales; Sporormiaceae.